RNAcentral lists this ribosomal RNA (1147 nucleotides) under Pseudo-nitzschia fraudulenta. RNAcentral describes it as "partial Bacterial large subunit ribosomal RNA". It matches the Rfam family "Bacterial large subunit ribosomal RNA", at positions 707 to 1876 of the family's 2925-position model. Lineage: Eukaryota; Bacillariophyta; Bacillariophyceae; Bacillariales; Bacillariaceae. The record is from RNAcentral.
GAGUAGACGCGAAACCUUGUGAUCUACCCAUGGGCAGGCUGAAGGCCGGGUAAAACCGGCUGGAGGGCCGAACGCACCAACGUUGAAAAGUUGGGCGAUGACCUGUGGGGAGGACUAAAAGUGUAAUCAAACUGGGAGAUAGCUCGUUCUCUCCGAAAUAUUUUUAGGAAUAGCCUCUUGCGGCAACUGUUGGGGGUAGAGCCACUGGAUACGGAUGGGGCCCUCGGGUACCCACUGUAACCAAACUCCGAAUACCAACAGCCAAGGCAAGGGAGUCAGCCCACGAGUGACAAUAUCCGUGGACAAAAGGGAAACAUCCCAGACCGCCAGCUAAGGUCCCUGAACAUUGCUUAGUUCUAAAGGAAGUCGAAGCGCAAAGACAGCCAGGAUGUUGGCUUAGAAGCAGCCACCAUUUAAAAAGUGCGUAACAGCUUACUGGUCGAGCAAUUCUGCGCCGAUAAUGAACGGGAGUAAGCAUUUCACCGAAGCAGCGGAUUCGAAAGAAUGGUAGGAGAGCGCCGAUCGUCAGAUACGAGCCGUACCGUAAGGAGCGGUGUUGGGGCGAUCGGGUGAUUAUGCCGGAAUGAGUAACGAUAAAACAGGUGAGAAUCCUGUUCGCCGAAAGCCUAAGGUUUCCUGGGGAAGGCAAUUCCGCCCAGGGUUAGCCGGUCCCUUAGUCGAGGCUGAAAAGCGUAGACGAUGGACAGCAGGUCAAUAUUCCUGCGCUACGGUUGUGGACUGAUGGAGGGACGGCGUUUCAAAGGUGAUCGGACUGGUGGAACAGUCCGUGGGCUCUAGCAAGGUGAGGAAUAGGCAAAUCCGUCCUCAUAAGCCAAGUUAGAGCGCUGACUCUUCGGAGGUAAUCAUCAGCGGGACGUCCAAGAAAAGCUUCUAAAGGUUGAAGCAACUGUAACCGUACUAAAACUGACACAGGUAGGCGGGUCGAGAAGACCAAGGCGCUCGGGAGAACGGUGGUUAAGGAACUCUGCAAAAUGACCCCGUAAGUUCGCGAUAAGGGGUGCCCCUGGCGGUUCACGCUGCUGGGGGCCACAGUAAAUCGGCUCUGGCAACUGUUUAUCAAAAACACAGGACCCUGCCAACUCGCAAGAGGAUGUAUAGGGUCUGACGCCUGCCCGGUGCCGGUAGG